AAUGAACGUUGGCGGCGUGGAUUAGGCAUGCAAGUCGAGCGAGAACCCCGCAAGGGGGGACAGCGGCGAAAGGGAUAGUAAUGUGUAGAUUAUCUGCCCUCAGGUCCGGGAUAGCUGCGGGAAACUGCAGGUAAUACCGGAUAACAUCUCCGGAUCAAAGGUGUGAUUCCGCCUGAGGAUGAGUCUGCAUCCUAUUAGCUAGUUGGUGGGGUAAUGGCCUACCAAGGCAUUGAUGGGUAGCAGGUGUGAGAGCACGACCUGCGUCAUUGGGACUGAGACACUGCCCAGACACCUACGGGUGGCUGCAGUCGAGAAUCUUCGGCAAUGGGCGCAAGCCUGACCGAGCGACGCCGCGUGUGGGAUGAAGGCCUUCGGGUUGUAAACCACUGUCAGAGGGGAUGAAAUGCAGGUGGGUUCUCCCAUCUGUUUGACAUAGCCUCAGAGGAAGGACGGGCUAAGUUCGUG
Molecule: ribosomal RNA, 465 nt
Filed under: uncultured bacterium
Lineage: Bacteria
Description: partial 16S ribosomal RNA
Rfam family: Bacterial small subunit ribosomal RNA
Source: RNAcentral